RNAcentral lists this ribosomal RNA (813 nucleotides) under uncultured bacterium. RNAcentral describes it as "bacterial SSU rRNA". It matches the Rfam family "Bacterial small subunit ribosomal RNA", at positions 42 to 875 of the family's 1533-position model. The record is from RNAcentral.
GCGCGUCUUACCAUGCAGUCGAACGUGAAGGGGGAGCAAUCUCCUGAAAGUGGCGAACGGGUGAGUAACACGUAGGUGACCUGCCUCGGAGUGGGGGAUAACAGUUGGAAACGGCUGCUAAUACCGCAUAAGGUGAGUAAAGCGGGAGCUUUGCUUGCGAAAACUCUGGUGCUUCGAGAGGGGCCUGCGUCCGAUUAGCUAGUUGGUGGGGUAAAGGCCUACCAAGGCGAUGAUCGGUAGCUGGUCUGAGAGGACGAUCAGCCACACGGGAACUGAGAAACGGUCCCGACUCCUACGGGGGGCAGCAGUGAGGAAUAUUGGGCAAUGGGCGGAAGCCUGACCCAGCAACGCCGCGUGGAGGAUGAAGGCUUUCGGGUCGUAAACUCCUUUUAUGGGGGAAGAGCGAGGACGGUACCCCAGGAAUAAGUCACGGCUAACUACGUGCCAGCAGCCGCGGUAAUACGUAGGUGACGAGCGUUAUCCGGAAUUACUGGGCGUAAAGCGCACGCAGGCGGUUGAGAUAGUCUGGCGUAAAAUCUCCUGGCUUAACUGGGAGGGGUCGUUGGAAACUGCUCGACUUGAGGCAACGAGAGGGGUGUAGAAUUCCCGGUGUAGUGGUGGAAUGCGUAGAUAUCGGGAGGAAUACCAGAGGCGAAAGCGGCACCCUGGCGUUAGCCUGACGCUCAUGUGCGAAGGCGUGGGGAGCGAACGGGAUUAGAUACCCCGGUAGUCCACGCGGUAAACGAUGAAUACUGGGUGUAGGUGAUGUGAAAGUCAUCUGUGCCGAAGCAAACGCGCUAAGUAUUCCGCCUG